This 1146-nucleotide ribosomal RNA is filed under the name uncultured fungus. RNAcentral's name for it is "eukaryotic LSU rRNA". The stretch from base 513 to 1146 matches the Rfam family "Eukaryotic large subunit ribosomal RNA", at positions 1 to 649 of the family's 3401-position model. Lineage: Eukaryota; Fungi. The record is from RNAcentral.
AAGUCGUAACAAGGUUUCCGUAGGUGAACCUGCGGAAGGAUCAUUACCGAGUUCAUGCCCUCACGGGUAGAUCUCCCACCCUUUGUAUACUAUACCUUUGUUGCUUUGGCGGGCCGCCUAGCUACUGGCUUCGGCUGGUAAGUGCCCGCCAGAGGACCCAAAACCCUGAAUAUUAGUGUCGUCUGAGUAAAAUUUUAAUAUUUAAAACUUUCAACAACGGAUCUCUUGGCUCUGGCAUCGAUGAAGAACGCAGCGAAAUGCGAUAAGUAAUGUGAAUUGCAGAAUUCAGUGAAUCAUCGAAUCUUUGAACGCACAUUGCGCCCCUUGGUAUUCCGAGGGGCAUGCCUAUUCGAGCGUCAUUAUCACCCCUCAAGCUUCGGCUUGGUGUUGAGGCCUGCUGUAAAGGCACCCUCUAAAAUCAGUGGCAGUGCUGUCAGGCUCUAAGCGUAGUAAUUUCAUCGCUAUAGGGUCCUGGUGGAUACUCGUCAAAACCCCCCUCAUUUUUUAAUGAUUGACCUCGGAUUAGGUAGGGAUACCCGCUGAACUUAAGCAUAUCAAUAAGCGGAGGAAAAGAAACCAACAGGGAUUGCCUCAGUAACGGCGAGUGAAGCGGCAAAAGCUCAAAUUUGAAAUCUGGCUCUUUUAGGGUCCGAGUUGUAAUUUGUAGAAGAUGUUUCGGGUGUGGCUCCGGUUUAAGUUCUUUGGAAUAUUACAUCAUAGAGGGUGAGAAUCCCGUAUGUGACCGGCAGCCUUCGCCUAUGUGAAACUCUUUCGACGAGUCGAGUUGUUUGGGAAUGCAGCUCAAAAUGGGAGGUAUAUUUCUUCUAAAGCUAAAUAUUGGCCAGAGACCGAUAGCGCACAAGUAGAGUGAUCGAAAGAUGAAAAGCACUUUGGAAAGAGAGUUAAACAGUACGUGAAAUUGUUGAAAGGGAAGCGCUUGCAACCAGACUUGCACGCAGUUGAUCAUCCGGUGUUCUCACCGGGGCACUCUGCUGCGUUCAGGCCAGCACCGGUUUUGGUGGUUGGAUAAAGGCCUUGGGAAUGUGGCUUCCUUCGGGGAGUGUUAUAGCCCUCGGUGCAAUGCAGCCUACCGGGACCGAGGACCGCGCUUCGGCUAGGAUGCUGGCGUAAUGGUUGUAAGCGACC